Molecule: ribosomal RNA, 497 nt
Filed under: uncultured bacterium
Lineage: Bacteria
Description: partial 16S ribosomal RNA
Rfam family: Bacterial small subunit ribosomal RNA
Source: RNAcentral
GAUGAACGCUGGCGGCGUGCCUAAUACAUGCAAGUCGAGCGAACAGACGAGGAGCUUGCUCCUCUGACGUUAGCGGCGGACGGGUGAGUAACACGUGGAUAACCUACCUAUAAGACUGGGAUAACUUCGGGAAACCGGAGCUAAUACCGGAUAACAUGUUGAACCGCAUGGUUCAACAGUGAAAGACGGUCUUGCUGUCACUUAUAGAUGGAUCCGCGCCGCAUUAGCUAGUUGGUAAGGUAACGGCUUACCAAGGCAACGAUGCGUAGCCGACCUGAGAGGGUGAUCGGCCACACUGGAACUGAGACACGGUCCAGACUCCUACGGGAGGCAGCAGUAGGGAAUAUUCCGCAAUGGGCGAAAGCCUGAAGGAGCAACGCCGCGUGAGUGAAGAAGGUCUUCGGAUCGUAAAACUCUGUUAUUAGGGAAGAAAAAAUGUGUAAGUAACUAUGCACGUCUUGACGGUACCUAAUCAGAAAGCCACGGCUAACUACGUG